UAUACAUCAAAGACCUUUAAAAGGCAUGGUGAAGAGAUGGCAAAGGAACAUUUAGCAACAGGUCAUUGAAAUCCUAUUGGAUCUUUUGUGUCUAAAUAGAUCAAAUUGCAGAAUUUAGCAUAUGAAUAACAGGAUACUGUUCUUAUAUACCUGCAGGAAAAGUAUGCUUUUUUGGGGGGGAAGAAAAAGAUAAAUCAUAAUGAAUUAUAUCCCAUUAAGAUGCUCUACAGUAAACACUAAUUUGAAUGUAAUAAAGGCCAUGGGCCUCUCUAUGAAAUUUGGACUUAAACUUUCUUAUUCUAGGGAAUAAAACAUUCUGGAUCAAAUAUUAUCUGUUCUAACCUUAAAUCAUAGCUGAAGUAGACUAAGUGAAUGUUUAGCAUUGAGUGUUUUCUGAAUUCCUCCUAAUGAUUUAUAG
This 418-nucleotide long non-coding RNA is filed under the name Bos taurus (domestic cattle). RNAcentral's name for it is "long non-coding RNA NONBTAT027002". Lineage: Eukaryota; Metazoa; Chordata; Mammalia; Artiodactyla; Bovidae. The record is from RNAcentral.